RNAcentral lists this ribosomal RNA (406 nucleotides) under uncultured bacterium. RNAcentral's name for it is "partial 16S ribosomal RNA". It matches the Rfam family "Bacterial small subunit ribosomal RNA", at positions 30 to 526 of the family's 1533-position model. The record is from RNAcentral.
AUUGAACGCUGGCGGCAGGCCUAACACAUGCAAGUCGAACGAGUGGCGGACGGGUGAGUAAUGUCUGGGAAACUGCCCGACGGAGGGGGAUAACUACUGGAAACGGUAGCUAAUACCGCAUACCAUCGGAUGUGCCCAGAUGGGAUUAGCUAGUGGGGGGGGUAAGGGCUCACCUAGGCGACGAUCCCUAGCUGGUCUGAGAGGCUGACCAGCCAAACUGGAACUGAUACACGGUCCAGACGCCUACGUGAGGCAGCAGUGGGGAAUAUUGCACAAUGGGCGAAAGCCUGAUGCAGCCAUGCCGCGUGUAUGAAGAAGGCCUUCGGGUUGUAAAGUACUUUCAGCGGGGAGGCGUUACCCGCAGAAGAAGCACCGGCUAACUCCGUGCCAGCAGCCGCGGUAAUAC